GGCGUAGGUGGCAAGGCAAGCCAGAAGUGAAAACCCGGGGCUCAACCGCGGGAUUGCUUUUGGAACUGUCAUGCUAGAGUGCAGGAGGGGUGAGCGGAAUUCCUAGUGUAGCGGUGAAAUGCGUAGAUAUUAGGAGGAACACCGGAGGCGAAGGCGGCUCACUGGACUGUAACUGACACUGAGGCUCGAAAGCGUGGGGAGCAAACA
Molecule: ribosomal RNA, 207 nt
Filed under: uncultured bacterium
Lineage: Bacteria
Description: partial 16S ribosomal RNA
Rfam family: Bacterial small subunit ribosomal RNA
Source: RNAcentral